RNAcentral lists this microRNA (21 nucleotides) under Homo sapiens (human). RNAcentral describes it as "hsa-miR-6816-5p". The record is from miRBase by way of RNAcentral. Lineage: Eukaryota; Metazoa; Chordata; Mammalia; Primates; Hominidae.
UGGGGCGGGGCAGGUCCCUGC